This 106-nucleotide transfer RNA is filed under the name Candidatus Helarchaeota archaeon. Its description in RNAcentral is "tRNA-Trp". It matches the Rfam family "tRNA". Rfam says of the family: Transfer RNA (tRNA) molecules are approximately 80 nucleotides in length. Lineage: Archaea; Promethearchaeati; Candidatus Helarchaeota. The record is from RNAcentral.
GGGGCUGUAAUCUAGCCAGGUAUGAUGCUGGGCUCCAGACCCAGGGAAAUGUAACAUAAAUGUUCAUUUCUGGUAGUAUUCAGGGGUUCAAGUCCCCUCAGCCCCA